UCUCUCUCGCGCGCGCUGUCACACAGCUAACCCUAGCGAUCCACCUCUCCCCUCCCCUCCCCUCGCGCAGCCGCCACCCACCUCUUCCUGUCUCGAUUCCCACCCACGCCGCUGCCGCCGCUGCCGCCGGCCUAUGCCCUCCCCCCACACCGCCGCCCCUCCUCACCUUCUCUCCCCGGUCGAGUAGCAGCAGGUGAGGCGGAGGCGGCAGCCAGAUCCGCCGCGUUGCUUCUGGAUCCGCGCCCUCUCCACCACCGAUUCAUCUCCAAUCUGGAUCCGCCGCGUUGCCACCGACACCCAACCCCACCCCAUGAACCCCUUCUGCGAGAUUGCCGUGGAGGAGGCACUGCGGUUCCGCGAGGCCGGCGCCGCCUCCGAGGUCGUCGCAGCCAUCGUCGGUCCCGCGCAGGCCGCCGACACGCUCCGCACUGCGCUUGCCAUGGGCGCCGACCGCGCCGUCCACGUCCUCCACGACCCCGACCCCGACCCCGCCGCCCGCUCCUCCCGCUCGCUGUUGCCGAGAUUCUCCGCGCCCUCGCGCUCCAGGACACCCCCGACCUCCUCAUCCUCGGCAAGCAGGUUCUCAGAUCGGCCUCGAUUCAGUCAGUUUUUUGCCUCGUCUUUCAUGGUGUCUGACUUGCUCUGCUUCCUGCCUGCCGGCCCGUCGUCCUCCUCCACGCCCCCACCCGCGGGCCUCCGCCGCGUCCACAUCUGGAGCUCCUCGACCCCAUCCCGUCCGCGGCGGUGACCAGCUGCAGCCUCUCUCUCUCUCUCUCUGCUCGGCUGGGCGGCAGUGAAGUGGGCAGGCGAUCCACUCAUCCUGAUUUCUCUUCUCGGUGUUUCAUCCAUCGGUAAGGACAAGACACACAUAAACAUCCUGGUCAUUGGCCAUGUCGACCACCACUGGCCAUCUGAUCUACAAGCCAUCCGGGAAGUCGAUGGCGGCGGCGCUGGAGUUCCUGGGGGCGCAGCGCUCGACACGCCCGGAGCUGCCGAAGUGCCAUGGGCAAGGGACAAGACUUGCAUCGACAUCGUGGUCAUUGGCGAUGUCGACCACCACUGGCCAUCUGAUCUACAAGCUUGGAGGUAUUGACAAGCGUGUGAUCGAGAGGUUUUAGAAGGAAGCCACUGAGAUGAACAAGAGGUCAUUCAAGUAUGCGUGGGUGCUCGACCAGCUGAAGGCUGACCGUGAGAGGGGUAUCAACAUUGAUAUUGCCCUGUGGAAGUUCGAGACCACCAAGUACUACUGCACUGUCAUCGAUGCCCCUGGACACCUUGAUUUCAUCAAGACUCCACCACUGGCUGUUUCUCCUAGGAUGGUUGGACCUGUCAGCACACCCUCCUUGCUUUCACUCUUAGAGUGAAGCAACAGGGUAUACUAGCUAUUCAACUUUGGAUGCUAAUUCUUAUGAGUGACCAUAUGACCUGUGUACCUAAUUUGCUAUCCAUUUGAUUCACAAUUACUUCAGCCAAUGUCAAUGCUCAUUAGUGCAUAAACACCCUGUGAACAUUAUCUCAUUCUUAGGCCUCGAGUGAUAUUUCUUCAGGCUAGUGCAUUAAUAAUAUGUGUUGCUCACUUUGUUUCUUAUAUCCUAUAAUUCAGAAAAGUAUGUACUAAUUUGUAUAUACUUGAUGGGAAUGUUUAGAACCACUUAGUAAAUGUACAGGCUCAUUGGUACUACUGAAUAGCCUUGUAAUUUAUGUUGCUUCUGGAGGUGUGGAGUCCUAGUAUUGGUUCCUGGUUCUAUUCAUGUUGCUUCUGUGGUGUGGAGUCGUGUCCUGACCGAGGAUUUGGUGCGUGUUUCGUCUUUGCAGGAACAACUUAAGGAAGGAGUACAGGGAGAAGCACCCUGACGUCAGGCAUGUCUUCGUGGUAAGCGCCUUGGUCCCGUUCCGCCACCUGUCCGCCUCUGUCUUGUGUUGUUUGUUCGAAUUGUUACUGCGAUGAGUUUCCUUGUGAAUUCCGUGUCCUGAUCUGGUUUGGGUUUAGUUCUCUGGCUUGUUCAAACCGAGAGGACUGUGUUCUCAGAUUGUUGCUAGAAUUGCAACUGCUCAUUUUGUAUUAAGCUAGGAUAAACAUCUUUUUUAAAACAUGGGUUGAAGCAGAUUGUACUUGCCUACUGAGAAUAUGAAAACAAGAUAUUAUGUUUGCUAAUAUGAAGAUAGCAUUGUGUUUAAUCUAGUACUGAUGAUUGUUUUCAUUCUCAUAUAAAUUUGUUAAUGAUGGCGAUUUUGUACUAGCAUAUAAACUUGUUUUUGUUGUCACUUGAUACAUACUUAGCUUGUACUUGAAGUUGUGGGUUAAUGCUGGUAAUUUUGUUCUACUUGUAUGCAUUGGUACCCCCAUCAUCGAGCGCACGGAUGCAAUAGUGGCAAGAAGAUCAUGGUCGUGUGCAUCAUCAAGCACACCAUGGCGAGCAUCCACCUCCUCACAGUGGCAAGAAGAGCAGGUGCCUAGUUUGUAAUCGCUGUCGAAGGAGCUCCAUGCUGAAGAACAUAACACUUGUAGAGCUUGUAAAGUACCAUGUUAUUGAACUUGUGGAGCAUGUAACUAUGACUUCCACUAUUGUAUGUUAGAGUUAUUUGUACAACUUGCUACACUUGCUGAAGAACAUAACACUUGUAGAGCUUGCAAAGUGUAUGUUAGAGUUAUUUGUACAACAGCAACUCUAUAUUGACAGUAGCAACACUGGCUGGUAUUUGAAGUAUUUUGUGUGUUUUCUGUGC
This 2727-nucleotide ribosomal RNA is filed under the name Triticum aestivum (bread wheat). RNAcentral's name for it is "partial small subunit ribosomal RNA". The record is from RNAcentral. Lineage: Eukaryota; Viridiplantae; Streptophyta; Magnoliopsida; Poales; Poaceae.